RNAcentral lists this ribosomal RNA (661 nucleotides) under Pseudooceanicola nanhaiensis. RNAcentral's name for it is "bacterial SSU rRNA". It matches the Rfam family "Bacterial small subunit ribosomal RNA", at positions 106 to 802 of the family's 1533-position model. The record is from RNAcentral. Lineage: Bacteria; Pseudomonadati; Pseudomonadota; Alphaproteobacteria; Rhodobacterales; Paracoccaceae.
GUGAGUAACGCGUGGGAAUGUGCCCUUCUCUACGGAAUAGUCCCGGGAAACUGGGUUUAAUACCGUAUACGCCCUUCGGGGGAAAGAUUUAUCGGAGAAGGAUCAGCCCGCGUCUGAUUAGGUAGUUGGUGGGGUAAUGGCCUACCAAGCCUACGAUCAGUAGCUGGUUUUAGAGGAUGAUCAGCCACACUGGGACUGAGACACGGCCCAGACUCCUACGGGAGGCAGCAGUGGGGAAUCUUAGACAAUGGGCGCAAGCCUGAUCUAGCCAUGCCGCGUGAGUGAUGAAGGCCUUAGGGUCGUAAAACUCUUUCGCCAGGGAUGAUAAUGACAGUACCUGGUAAAGAAGCCCCGGCUAACUCCGUGCCAGCAGCCGCGGUAAUACGGAGGGGGCUAGCGUUGUUCGGAAUUACUGGGCGUAAAGCGCGCGUAGGCGGACUAUUAAGUCAGGGGUGAAAUCCCGGGGCUCAACCCCGGAACUGCCCUUGAUACUGGUAGUCUUGAGUUCGAGAGAGGUGAGUGGAAUUCCGAGUGUAGAGGUGAAAUUCGUAGAUAUUCGGAGGAACACCAGUGGCGAAGGCGGCUCACUGGCUCGAUACUGACGCUGAGGUGCGAAAGUGUGGGGAGCAAACAGGAUUAGAUACCCUGGUAGUCCACACCG